Molecule: ribosomal RNA, 425 nt
Filed under: uncultured bacterium
Lineage: Bacteria
Description: bacterial SSU rRNA
Rfam family: Bacterial small subunit ribosomal RNA
Source: RNAcentral
UGGGGAUUUUCCGCAAUGGGCGAAAGUCUGACGCAGCGACACCGCGUGUGGGAUGAAGCGCUUCGGCGUGUAAACCACUGUGGCAGGGGAAUAACUCAAUGAAGGUACCCUGCUAGAAAGCACCAGCUAACCACGUGCCAGAAGCUUCGGUAAUACGUAGGUGGCAAGCGUUGUCCGGAUUUACUGGGCGUAAAGAGCGCGCAGGCGGUCGUUCAAGUCGCGUGUGAAAGCCCCCGGCUCAACUGGGGAGGGUCACGCGAUACUGAUCGACUCGAAGGCAGGAGAGGGAAGUGGAAUUCCCGGUGUAGUGGUGAAAUGCGUAGAUAUCGGGAGGAACACCAGUGGCGAAGGCGACUUCCUGGCCUGUUCUUGACGCUGAGGCGCGAAAGCUAGGGGAGCAAAAGGGAUUAGAUACCCCUGUAGUC